GGAUAACUUCGGGAAACUGAGGACAAUACCUAAUACAAAACUAUGUCUGGAAUGACUUGUUUUUGAAACGUAAGGCCUAAAGAUGAGUCGGCGGCGGAUUAGGUUGUUGGCGGGGUAAUGGCCCACCAAGCCUCUGAUCCGUACGGGCCCUGAAAGGGGGAGCCCGGAGAGGGAUACUGAGAUACUGAUCCCAGCCCUACGGGGUGCAGCAGGCGCGAAACCUUUACAAUGCACAUUGGUGUGAUAAGGCAACUCUCAGUGCUAUUGCGUAUGCAAUGGCUUUUGCCAUGGGUAAGUACCAUGGCGAAUAAGGGGUGGGCAAGACUGGUGCCAGCCGCCGCGGUAAUCCCAGCGCCCCGAGUAGCGACCGCUAUUACUAGGCCUAAAGCGUCCGUAGCCGGUUAGGUAAAUCUUCUGUGAAAUUGUUGGGCUUAACCCAUCAGCGUGCAGAGGAGACUGCCUAGCUAGGGACCGGGAGGCGCAGAAAGUAUUCUGGGGGGAGUGGUAAAAUGCGAUAAUCCCCAGAGGACUACCUGUGGCGAAGGCGUUCUGCGAGAACGGGUCCGACGGUGAGGGACGAAGGCUGGGGGAGCAAACCGGAUUAGAUACCCGGGUAGUCCCAGCAGUAAACUCUGCGAGCCAGGCGUUGCAUGUCUGAUGAGGACUUGCAGUGCCGAAGCGAAGGCGUUGAGCUCGCCGCCUGGGGAGUACGGUCGCAAGGCUGAAACUUAAAGGA
RNAcentral lists this ribosomal RNA (736 nucleotides) under uncultured euryarchaeote. Its description in RNAcentral is "bacterial SSU rRNA". It matches the Rfam family "Archaeal small subunit ribosomal RNA", at positions 124 to 863 of the family's 1478-position model. The record is from RNAcentral. Lineage: Archaea; Methanobacteriati; Methanobacteriota.